Molecule: ribosomal RNA, 463 nt
Filed under: uncultured Klebsiella sp.
Lineage: Bacteria; Pseudomonadati; Pseudomonadota; Gammaproteobacteria; Enterobacterales; Enterobacteriaceae
Description: bacterial SSU rRNA
Rfam family: Bacterial small subunit ribosomal RNA
Source: RNAcentral
CCUACGGGGGGCAGCAGUGGGGAAUAUUGCACAAUGGGCGCAAGCCUGAUGCAGCCAUGCCGCGUGUGUGAGGAAGGCCUUCGGGUUGUAAAGCACUUUCAGCGGGGAGGAAGGCGGUGAGGUUAAUAACCUCAUCGAUUGACGUUACCCGCAGAAGAAGCACCGGCUAACUCCGUGCCAGCAGCCGCGGUAAUACGGAGGGUGCAAGCGUUAAUCGGAAUUACUGGGCGUAAAGCGCACGCAGGCGGUCUGUCAAGUCGGAUGUGAAAUCCCCGGGCUCAACCUGAACUGCAUUCGAAACUGGCAGGCUAGAGUCUUGUAGAGGGGGGUAGAAUUCCAGGUGUAGCGGUGAAAUGCGUAGAGAUCUGGAGGAAUACCGGUGGCGAAGGCGGCCCCCUGGACAAAGACUGACGCUCAGGUGCGAAAGCGUGGGGAGCAGACAGGAUUAGAUACCCGGGUAGUC